This is a non-coding RNA of Tauraco erythrolophus (red-crested turaco), 310 nucleotides long. The record is from the annotation of a RefSeq genome assembly. NCBI's taxonomy places the organism in Eukaryota, Metazoa, Chordata, Aves, Musophagiformes, Musophagidae.
GAGGGUGCAGGGUUGGGGCAGCCCCACCUCCACCUUCCUCCUCCUCCUCCUCGCAGCCCUCCCAGGGCUGCGGGCGGCCAUGACACUGGUGGAGUCCGGAGGGGUCUCCAGACCCCCGGCGGGUCGUUACGCCUCGUCUGCACCGCUACUGGUGGUGGUGGUACCACAUACUACGCGCCGACGGUCAAGGGCCGCUUCACCAUCUCCAAGGACAACUCCCAGAGCACGGUCACGCUGCAGAUGAGCAGCCUCACGGCCGGUGACACGGCCACCUACUACUGCGUCAAAAGUGCUGGUGCUUAUGGUGGUG